This 1405-nucleotide ribosomal RNA is filed under the name metagenome. Its description in RNAcentral is "SSU rRNA". It matches the Rfam family "Eukaryotic small subunit ribosomal RNA", at positions 3 to 1358 of the family's 1831-position model. The record is from RNAcentral.
CCUGGUUGAUCCUGCCAGUAGUCAUAUGCUUGUCUCAAAGAUUAAGCCAUGCAUGUCUAAGUAUAAACAACUUUAUACUGUGAAACUGCGAAUGGCUCAUUAAAUCAGUUAUAGUUUAUUUGAUAGUACCUUACUACUUGGAUAACCGUAGUAAUUCUAGAGCUAAUACAUGCGAAAAGACCCGACUUUUUGGAAGGGUUGCAUUUAUUAGAUACAAAACCAAUGGCCAGCAAUGGUCACACUUGGUGAUUCAUAAUAACUUUUGCGGAUCGCAUAGCUUUACGCUGGCGACGAAUCAUUCAAAUUUCUGCCCUAUCAACUUUCGAUGGUACGGUAUUGGCCUACCAUGGUUACAACGGGUAACGGGGAAUUAGGGUUCGGUUCCGGAGAGGGGGCCUGAGAAAUGGCCACCACAUCCAAGGAAGGCAGCAGGCGCGCAAAUUACCCAAUCCUGAUACAGGGAGGUAGUGACAAUAAAUAACAAUGCAGGACCUUUACGGGUUUUGUAAUUGGAAUGAGUACAAUUUAAAUCUCUUAACGAGUACCAAUUGGAGGGCAAGUCUGGUGCCAGCAGCCGCGGUAAUUCCAGCUCCAAUAGCGUAUAUUAAAGUUGUUGCAGUUAAAAAGCUCGUAGUUGAAUCUCGGAGUCCUUGUUCUUCGGAAACGCCGAUGGUCGGAAACCCAGAGCCUCGAAAGGGGUGGAUGGGGCUGUUUACUUGAGGCAGGGCUCACAUCUGAGUUUCUCGAAGGUGGCCUCUGCUCUUCACUGGGUUGGGGGACUUUUUCACAUUCGAGACAUUUACUUUGAAAAAAUUAGAGUGUUCAAAGCAGGCAGUUUCGCUUGAAUACAUUAGCAUGGAAUAAUGGAAUAGGACUUUGGUCUUAUUUUGUUGGUUUCUAGGACUGAAGUAAUGAUUAAUAGGGACAGUUGGGGGCAUUAGUAUUUAAUUGUCAGAGGUGAAAUUCUUGGAUUUAUGAAAGACUAACUUCUGCGAAAGCAUUUGCCAAGGAUGUUUUCAUUAAUCAAGAACGAAAGUUAGGGGAUCGAAGACGAUUAGAUACCGUCGUAGUCCUAACCAUAAACUAUGCCGACUCGGGAUCGGUGAGCGUGUUUUUUUACUACCUCAUCAGCACCGUAGGAGAAAUCAAAGUUUUUGGGUUCUGGGGGGUGUAUGGUCGCAAGGCUGAAACUUAAAGGAAUUGACGGAAGGGCACACCAGGUUUGGAGCCUGCGGCUUAAUUUGACCCAACACGGGGAAACUCACCAGGUCCAGACAUCGUAAGGAUUGACAGAUUGAGAGCUCUUUCUUGAUUCGAUGGAAAGUGGUGCAUGGCCGUUCUUAGUUGGUGGAUUGCUCUGUCUGGUUUAUUCCGUUAACGAACGAGACCUUAACCUGCUAAAUAG